RNAcentral lists this unclassified non-coding RNA (514 nucleotides) under Hevea brasiliensis (rubber tree). The record is from RNAcentral. Lineage: Eukaryota; Viridiplantae; Streptophyta; Magnoliopsida; Malpighiales; Euphorbiaceae.
AUGGGCAGCUAUUAACGCAAUUGGCCAGUUGUCUACUGACUUGGGGCCUGAUUUGCAAGUACAAUACCACAGCAGAGUAUUGCCAGCUUUGGCAACAGCUAUGGAUGAUUUUCAAAAUCCACGAGUGCAGGCACAUGCUGCGUCAGCUGUCCUCAACUUCAGUGAGAACUGCACACCAGAAAUUUUGACACCUUACUUGGAUGGAAUAGUUAGCAAACUACUUGUUCUUCUACAGAACGGAAAACAAAUGGUGCAAGAAGGAGCAUUAACUGCUUUGGCUUCAGUGGCUGAUUCAUCACAGGAGCACUUCCAGAAGUACUAUGACGCUGUAAUGCCAUAUUUGAAAACCAUACUGGUAAAUGCGAAUGAUAAAUCUAAUCGCAUGCUUCGAGCCAAAGCCAUGGAGUGCAUAAGCUUGGUUGGGAUGGCUGUUGGAAAAGAUAAAUUCAGAGAUGAUGCUAAGCAGGUUAUGGAAGUGCUUAUGUCACUACAAGGAUCGCAAAUGGAGACAGAU